AAGUCGUAACAAGGUUUCCGUAGGUGAACCUGCGGAAGGAUCAUUAAAGGGUGAGGGUCUCUCAGGCCCGACCGUCCCAACCCUUUGAUUACUGAACCUCUGUUGCUUCGGUGGACCCGCCUUCACCGGCCGCCCGGAGGACCGCCGCGAGGCAUCCUCUGGUCCGCGUCCGCCGAUAGCCAACCUAUUAAACUCUUGAAUAACCAUGUCGUAUGUCUAAGUCAAUGAUAAAUUAAGCAAA
This 241-nucleotide unclassified non-coding RNA is filed under the name plant metagenome. RNAcentral's name for it is "partial contains small subunit ribosomal RNA and internal transcribed spacer 1". The stretch from base 1 to 46 matches the Rfam family "Eukaryotic small subunit ribosomal RNA", at positions 1786 to 1831 of the family's 1831-position model. The record is from RNAcentral.